GUGAGGAAUUUUCCGCAAUGGGCGAAAGCCUGACGGAGCAAGGCCGCGUGAAGGAUGAAGGCCUAUGGGUUGUAAACUUCUUUUCUCAGAAAAGAAUUAUGACGGUAUCUGAGGAAUAAGCAUCGGCUAACUCUGUGCCAGCAGCCGCGGUAAGACAGAGGAUGCAAGCGUUAUCCGGAAUGAUUGGGCGUAAAGCGUCUGUAGGUUGUUUAAAAAGUAUUCUGUCAAAGAUUAGGGCUUAACCCUAGAUAGGCAGAAUAAACUUUUAAGCUAGAGUUUGGUAGAGGCAGAGGGAAUUCCCGGUGGAGCGGUGAAAUGCGUAGAUAUCGGGAGGAACACCAAAGGCGAAGGCACUCUGCUGGGCCAAUACUAACACUGAGAGACGAAAGCGAGGGGAGCAAAUGGGAUUAGAAACCCGUGUAGUCC
Molecule: ribosomal RNA, 426 nt
Filed under: uncultured bacterium
Lineage: Bacteria
Description: partial 16S ribosomal RNA
Rfam family: Bacterial small subunit ribosomal RNA
Source: RNAcentral